This 41215-nucleotide long non-coding RNA is filed under the name Vitis vinifera (wine grape). RNAcentral's name for it is "long non-coding RNA (VVIN_LNC000787)". Lineage: Eukaryota; Viridiplantae; Streptophyta; Magnoliopsida; Vitales; Vitaceae. The record is from RNAcentral.
UCAAAGUGACAGAAGUAACACACAGAACAUUCGGUGGUACAGCACAGUGGGUAAGGUUUCAUGUCAUAUUUAAAUGGCUCCUCAUAUUUCACUAGGAUUAAUUUUGCCCCUACAAACAUAUUUGGCUACAAGUUAAGACAGAGUUCCAGAUGCUGAUAAAGUUGAGACAUAAGUAAUGAAUGAGUUUAGAAACAUGCACAACUCUUGUGUGAAACACAAUGAGAGUGGAAAAUAGCUAAGUUGAAAAAUGGCCAAAUACUAUUUUGUAGUUCCCCCUACCACUUAAGUAAUUUUUGUCAUCCUUUGUGAAUGGAAAAUCCAGUCCCUUCAGUAAUUCCGUUAUAUUCAUGACUUGGUGAAGCAUAUAACCAUUAGUGUCUUGCCUUAAGUCGACCUUUAAUGAUGAUCCAUUGAGAUGGGUCUGACUUUUGUCAACCCUCUUAUUCCCUUGAUCAUAGAGGUUAAACUUAGGGGGCUUAACCCACUUUUGAACCUUAUUGGAUAUAUGGCACAUGGUAUCCUCUUCAUCUUGAAAGAGUGAAGUGGUCAUACUCUUUCCUCUGAGUCCAUUGUGGCCAUGCACUUCUGGCCCAUUGGGCUGAGUGAAAGGAUUCCCUUCUGCUUCAAAUCAUAGAGAGAUAUGCCAUGGUCAGCCUCUUUAAUUCAAGGGAUCGAAGUACUCAAAUCCAUUUCUCUGCAUCCAUCUUAAUUCUGCAUUCAUGUCUCAUGGUUAACCAAGAAGAUCCAGCUUCCAUCCAUGAGAUCAGCAUCUGCAGGUUUAUGACACCACCCUUCCUUGGCAUAGGAAAGGGAUCAUUAAGCCAUGUGUUGGAUGACAGAAGUCAUCAUUCAGGUUAUCUUGAGAACUAAGGAAGUUGGAAUUCUAAUUAUUGCAUAUGGUUCUUGAUGUUUAGCCAAUAUACCGUAGGAUUUUAAGGAUCAUGCUCAUGUGCAUUGUGGUUGUUUAUCAGCUAUAUGGUUUACCAAAAUGAGGGACUGAUUAUGGUCAUAAGUACCUUUUUCCUAUUAAUUUCUUGCAUGUGCUCUGCUGAGAUUAUGUUUUUGACAGUCCAAAUCAGGGCAAACCAACAAACAGCUUUAUGUUAACUUUUACAAACUGCCACAUUUUCAGGUUAAACGAACAGAGAUAAAUCUUGGUGAAACUAGAAGUAAUACAACUUGUGCUGUGGAGAUAAAAGAAAGGGCAGCGGCACUGGUGGCUGCAGAAAUUGAGGCAUGUAGAGACGAUAGAACCCCCAAGAUACCUCUUCAUGAGAAAGUCCAGAAAGAGUGGGCUUGUGCUGUAUGCCAGGUCACAACCCAAAGUGAAGCGACCUUCAAUUCCCACCUUCAAGGGAAGAGACAUCAGGCCACUUCUGAGCAGCUGAGAGCCAAAAACCAGGCAACCAAAACCAAUUGUUCCCCAUCUGCUUCAAUGGCCAAGAAAUCUGAUCAGUCCACCAAAGAGGAGCAACCGAAGUGUACUUCCAACAAUCUGAAUUCCAAAAACAAUGGAAUCUCAGCUGCUUCAACAGUGAAGAAACCUGAUGACACCAAAGAUGAUGAGCGACAAAAGUCUGCAUCUAGCAAUGAACCGAACCAGAAGAAUAACAAAAAGCAAGAGGUACAGACCAAUGAGCAAGGCCAUCAGAAGAACUUAAAGCAAACUGGCGAUGGAAUGAAAGAGUUGAGAUUAUGCUGCAAUAUCUGUAAUGUAAGCUGCACAAGUGAGCUUGACAUGGCCUCUCAUCUCAAUGGAUGGAGGCACUUUAAUAUGAUAAAGGAGGCGUCUGAAUUAUGGUGCAGUAACUGCAAUGUAAGGUGCAACAGUGAGGCUGUCAUGGCCUCUCACCGAAAUGGGAGGAGGCACUUGAAGCAGCUGAAGGAACGGUCGGGAUUAUAGUGCAGUAUCUGUAGCGUGAGAUUGUGUUAGGAAGAGGUGGAAUGGGUUCCAAUCAGGAAUUAAGACUCGGUUCCAAGACAUGGAAAGUGUCUUUAGAUUAUGUUAUCUCCAUUUUUUUUAUUGUGAGAGGGGAGUAUAAGGAAUGAAAAUAAAUAUAUAUAUAUUUUUUAAUAGAGAUGAAUUUGAUAAUUUUAAUUAUUGUGUUUUGAUGUAUUUAGGAAUGUAAAAUUAAAAUAAUUAUUUAUUUUCAUUUUAGUAUUUGACAAUAAUAAAAUUAUGAAUUAAAAAAUAAUGUGAUAAUAAUACAUUUAUAUUUAAUUUAAAAUAUUUUUUAUUUUAUUUUAGAAGAAUAUGGGUUAAAUUCUUUUUUUAAAUAAUAAGCUUAAGAAAAAUAAUUUUUACUCAAUAAAUAAAAUUAAUCAUAAAAAGUCAUAACAACCUAAUAAAAAUAUAGGGGUAAAAUAAUAAUUUUAAAAUAUUAUUUAAGUUAUCCAAACAAAUUUGACUCUUCAUUCUCUCUCUUGAACCAAAUACGGUCUUUUAAGCGUUUGUCAACUUAUUUUUUUUUGCAAAAUAUCAAUAUUUUACUAAUAUUUUUAUCGAUUAUUUGCCAAUAUUUAUCGCCACGUCACCAAUUCUUUGAGUUUGACUUUCAAAAUUUUGAAAUGAUAUUUGAAGUCCAGUUCAGCCCAAAUCACUACACCCAUGAUUUUUCCCUUUUCUUUUUCUCCUUAAUUUUCACAUCACCCAACAACACUACUCUUAAUUCACACAAAUUUGAAGGUUUGGAACGAGACUUCUUCCUAAUUAUAUUGUAAUUAUGUUAUAAUAACCAUGUCGUAUUUGGAUUUAUUUAUUCAGUCCAUCUAAAUCUUUUGUUUAUUCAUGUAAAAAGAAUAUAGUUAUAAUCGAAUCCAUUUGUGACAUAUUCAUCUUUUAUAAAUUUAUUAAUUUUAUAUAUUUAAAAACUAUAAAAAUUAAAUAUAUUUUUUCAAUUAUGAAUAUCAUAUUACUAAAAUAUUAAAUAACUAAUUAACUUGAAAUGUUUUAUAUUUCAUUCAUUAUUUUAUAAUUACAACAUUAAGUGAAAUAAUAAAUAGGUUAAAAUAUAUAUUUUAUUUUAGUUAAAAAUUAUAAAUUGUUAUUGAGACGUAUAACUAUUAAAAUUCUACCCAUUUGACCAUCAAACAAACAACUUAAGUUUUUAGUCAUAAUUUAAGCUUCUGAUAAACUCUAUUUCCAUAAAUUAGAAACCGAAAUCAAUUUCUUCUUAGACUCAAAAACAUAAAGACAAUCUUUUAAUUCUAGAAGACAUCUAUCAUUUAAGAUAAGGGUAACAUAUCCCAUUGCCUAAACAACAACUCUUGCUUCAAAAGCCAAUGUCAAGUACAUAUCCCUAUCAUUCAACCUUUCCCUUAGCUAAAACCCCUAUAAAGAAUUAUAAACAUAAUCAAUGGCUCCAAAAUUUAUCCACCAAGAGUUAGUGGAAUCCAACACUAAACAUAAUUCAACUAUAAGAGAAUGAUGCAUAGUUGACUAUCUCUUCAAGAACUAAGGACAUUCCUUCUUCUUCUAAUGGCAUUUUUUACCACAAAGGAAACACUUGUCAUGACCCUUACUCUUCUUCUUCUUCCCCUUAGCCUUAAACUUCCCCUUCUGCUUGAUGAACUCUAUAGUGUUCUUCUUAUUUUGGCUAGAAAAACCUAAAGAACCCUUAACUGCCAUAUAAAUACCUCUCUGGUCCUUGAGAAUUCCCUCAGUCAUUUUGUGUUCUCUCAUUAGUUCAAUUGUAGUUUAAGAAAAAUAAUGUUUUUUAUUUUAUUUUAUGUGAUUGAACUUGGAAUGAAUUUCCAAGUUGCAUACAUACUUGGGUUGAGAUCAAGUCAUAACGUAGUUUAAGAAAAAGAUUUUUUAUUUUUUAUGUGAUUGAACUUGGAAUGAAUCUCUAAGCUACCUACGUAUCCAAGAUGGGAUCAAGUUCUAACAUAGUCACAAUGCAGUUCAAGAUUUUUUUUUUUCUUUUUUUGUGCUCUAACUUUUGUCAAGACUAAAGAUCUUAAUCUUGCAAGCAUGUCCUAACUUUUGUCUAGGUCACCUUUCCAAGUUUUCAACUUAGCAAACAUUUUUUUUUUUUGUUCUCUAACGUUUGCCAAGACAAAAGAUUUUAAUCUUGCAAGCAUGUCAUAACUUUUACCUAAGUCAGAUUUUUAGGUUUUCAAUGUGGUGGAUUUUUUUGUUUUUUAUUUUUUAUUUUUUAUUUUUUGUGUCGUAGGCAAUUUAGCUCAUACGGCCCAGAAGCGAUGUGUAGUUUGUUGGGAUUCAACCCUUAAAAGCAAAACAUGAUGUAACAAAGUUAGACUUAACUAUCCCCUUGCUAUCAUUUUGGUGUAUUAACAUUGAUUUAAACAUUCAACUCAUAUUUUACAUUGUACAUGACUUAGGUGCAUUAGGAGUUGCUCAUAAGAUACAUGGAUUCCUUGUAAGUAGAUGAGUUAUCCAUAGUCAGUUCAUGGAUUUGGGCAAUCUAGUAGAGACUGUAAUGCACCACCUCUUAAUUGAAGAGAUGACUUGUCUUGACAGUUGGGAUAGGUUUCCUAUGGUGAGUGCACUAGUAUAUAUGAUGCACAUUGGAUAGGACCUACGGUAAAUCAUGAGCAAAGCUAUCAAUUGUCAUGAUUCACCAAGUUACGAUACUGCAUGGACUCUCAAUCUUGAGAGGACAUUGAACCUGUGCCAAAAUCAACAAAAAGCUUUCACCUAUAGAUGAGACCUUAAAGUGAUCAUAUAUCCCUAUGGAUUGAGUCACUAUUGAUGAAGGUUGGUGGUAAUAGGUAUUCUCAAUAGAGGCACCAUGAUAUCUCAUGAGAUUGAGACGGUGUGUCCCCUUGGGUGAUACAAAGGACAUGUGAUCAUAAAAUCUGUGACCAUAGUAAUUCUUUUAUUGAAAUUUGACAUAUACCCCUUCGAGCUAGAGUAUGUCAGUUGAUUACAUAAUAAGUGGCAUCUAUAACUUAAGGAUUUGAGAGGUAAUCUUGAUAGGUGAUAGCACUACCUUGUUAGAUUAUGGACACCAGUUCAUGGGGAAUCUACAUGCAGUGGAUGAUAUGUCACGAACGCGAGCUUCAUAUCGUUGUUAUUAACAUAGGAUACUGGAGUGCAAUUGAUUCUCUUUAGUAGAAUGUUGAAUCAACUUCAAAAUGGAUUAUGAGGGAGCCAAUACUCCUAUGGGUCUUAAUGGUCCCCACUCUGAGCUCAUAUACCAUGAUGACACAGUUUAUGAGGGUUUGAUUGGCUUUAUGUUCAUUUUUGUGCAUAAGGGCAUUUUGGUAAUUACACAAGGUUACAUAGGGGAUAGUCAAUAAGGUCUUUAGAUUGGGCCAAUUGAUUAAUUAGAUGACCUUAUGUGGUUAAUUAAUCAAUUAUGAUAUGUUUAGGCUAGAUUAAAUGACCCAAGCCUUGAUGAAUUUAAGUCACUUAAGCCUAGCAGAUAACCUUAUAAAUACCCUCUUAUGGGUUAGGGUUUCCUAAUGACUUUCAGUUAAUCAUCUUCCAUCCCUAGAAAGAGAAAGAGAGCCAAAUCUUUCUCCCUUCCAUUGCCCACACUUUGGUAUGCCAAGAUCAUGGUUCAAGUCACUGGGAGGAAGAUCUUGGGUGUACAAGACCUUCGGACUCUUUAAGUUUCUUCUUCGUUGGAUGAAUUUUUAUUUGGGACACAUCUAGAUCAUAAGUAUGUGUUAGAAAAUUUGGCUAAUUCAACUUAAGGUAAUCACUCUAGAGGAGGGGUGAAUAGGGUGAUGAUCUUUUUUUACAAAUUUAAAUUAUGUGAAUGCAAGAGACAAUUAUACUAUGCAAAUAUAUAGUAAAACCAUAUAAAAAUAAUUGCAUAUAAAGUACAAGGGUAGAAAAUAGAGAAUAUAAACACAAGAUUUUUAUAGUGGUUUGGUGCAACUCGGCCUACAUCCAUUCUCCUCUAGCUUCAAUCCCAAGUUUGAGGUUCCACUAAUUCAAGGCUUCCAACCUAACCCUUCAAGCAAUACAAUUGGAUUAUGGUUCCAAUCAAACCUUUUGGACUUUUGGCUCUAAGCACCUUUUACAAUCUUUGAUUCGUGCCUAACUGGUGUUUGCCCUGUUGAUUGGUGUUCAAUCAACUGAUGUGCUUUGAUUUCAGUCCUCAGACGAGAGUAAUCAACAAAAUUUAUAAACCUAUUUCACCAUAUACUAGGGUAGCAUUAGCUAGCAUAGCAUAGUGGCUCUAGGAUCGUCCACAGGGAUGGGUUUUCAAAUUACAAUUGAUAUUAGUUCAAAAACUGAAUUGGUGUUUUUUCUUUUCAAGGUUAGCUUUAAAAGAAAACAUAAGUAUGUGUGAAAAGGUUGGUUUUAAGUGAAACCAAAAAUAAAGUAACUGAAAUUACUUACAAAGAAAAGUGCUUCUUGGAGUUUUAGAUCACUAGGCUCAAGUUCCUUAUACAAAAAGAGAGAUUCCGAUCACUUGGAUCUUUUCCUAGCAUUGGGGAUUUAACAUAUAGUUAUUUCCCGAACCGGUGCGGUACAGAUGCUUCCCCUUAAUGGUUUCAAACACUAAAUCUCUAUCACUGAAUCAUCUUGUAAUGGUUCAUACCUCUCACCUGGUAUUGGUCAUUUAAGGUGAUCAUUAACCUUGGAUUACCCGUCAAAAGCUCGCAAAAGAUAACUAAUGAAUGUCUCCUAGGAGUCCAAAAGCUUACCAAGUGUUGGCUAUUCUAGAUAAUCCUACCUUUAAACCAUCUCCCAAAAGCUCGCAAGAGAUAAACUAGUGGAUCUCAAUGGACGGAGUCCACUUGCCUUACCAAGUGUUGGCCCAAGUGAUUUUAAGGGAUUUUAAGUUAACUAAAAAGAUAAAAACCAUUAACGGGUCACACUUUCUCUUCAUUAAAACCUGAAACAAUGAAACUUCCACUUUUGUAUACGAAACCUUACCUAGCUUCCUUCACUCCAAGAAACAAAAAGCCUAGCCACUCAUCCUCUAGGAAAACAUCCUCAGAGUUUGAUUUGGUAGAAAUAAAAAUAAAAGAGAAAACCAAAUGUGAAGGUAAGGCCGAGCAGAGCUCUGUGUAUUACUUUAUGAAAAACUAUACAAAAUUUGUCUCUAAGAGAAACUCCCCCGAGAUCUCUUUUAAAAGAAAAUUACAAUAGAUAUCAUAUAAAGAGGCUAUUCACCCCUCUUGCUAACUUCCCAACCAUGAAAACUUGUCAAUGGUGGGUUACAAGGAGAAAAUAGGGAUUUACACACAAAUAUUUGAAGAUAAACAUCAAACUGAGUCGGUGCGCAAAUAUCUCAGAUUACAAGUGGAUUUCGCAAGUUCAAACGCAACUUGCAAAAAUUUUGCAAGUUGAAAUUAUGGUUUCGCAAGUUGCGAAAUUGUCCUGCAACUAAUCAGCUCUCUGUCCUACAACAAUUCCUUUCCUCUUCCUAUUUCGCAAGUUGUGAGAAUUUCGCAAGUUGGAUUCCACAACUUGCAAAAUUGUUGGAUGGUUGAUUUCUUUUGUGAUUUUCUUCCUUGCAUCCUCAUUUGGCUUUGGCAAAGGGUUAUGAAGCUCCAAAGCUUAGUUUCUUCAUGAAUUUGAGCUUCAACUUGCUUUGCCAUGAACUAUACAAAGAUCUCCCUCAUUCUUGGAUUGCUUUGGUGAUAAAAAAGCUAUGAAAAACACCAAAACUUAACACAAUUUGAUUAGAAACGAUUGUAAGGGUCUUUAACAUGCCAAUUGAGUUAAAAGGUAAUAGCUACUACUCAAAAGUGUUUAAAAGAGUUAAUUACAAGCUAUAAAAUGACCCUUUUUGAAGUUCAACCCCUUAAGUGAUACCCCUUAAGUGAUACCCCUUAAUUCAAGAGAUGUCUUACUCUUAAACAACCCCUUAAGUGAUACCCCAUACUUGAGAUUCCCUAAGUGAUGCCUCACACUUAGAUUUUUCAUCUCAAAGAUUUACAAAUGAAGAUAGGAAAUAAUCUCACAAAAUCUUAAUACAAAACAUUAGGCUCAAAUGAUACAAGAUAAACUAUGAUUGAAUGGUGCACUAAUAAUAUGCAAGUUUUAAAACAAUGAGUACUAAAAAACACUCUCCUAAGGUUCAAAUAUAUUCAAGAAAGAUUUAAGAAGGUUAAACUCUUGAAACAAUAAAGAUUGAAACCUUUUUAUGGAGGAGAAAUGCCAAACUAGUUGUUGGGGGUUUGUCCAGUCGAGUUCUGGUUUGACCGGUUCACUAACCGUUAGCAUUUAAUGCAUGAUAGGUGAUCAUUGGGCCUUGACCAUCCCUCGACCAGUACUCAACCGGAUAAAGUUCAACCUUAAUCAAUCGAAUAAGCAUUCUAGAAUAGAGAGAAGGUUUUUGCACCUUUCAAUCAGUUGAGUUGAACAAAUAGACGGAUUCCUUAUCCAGUUCAACCGGUUGAGCCAUUUUUGGCUCAACAAUCAUCAUUUUCAACUUAAAACCUUUUAAACAAGUUUAGAAAGCAUUUGACACAAGGAUUUAGUUGAAAACAUUAAAUCAUCCUAUUUUUAAAAGAUUUAAAACAAAAUACCUCUUGAAUGAUUUUGGUGUAUAAGUAAAUAAUGUAAUGCAUGAAAAACCCAGUGCGCCAACAACCUUACAAAGAGAUCUUAUGAGGCUUAGGUAUUGAAAAACACUUCUCUUUAAGGCAGACAACAUCGUGUGAAUACCAAAGGGGAACUCUACGUUCCUAGGGAAAGAUGCCUCGUCAGUACGUCUUGAGGUUGUUCACUAACUUCGGGGUUACCGGCUUUGAGAGGAGCCCUUUGAUGACAUUUGGGCAUGCAACUCUUCAUUUUCUUCCUUGAUUCGCCUUGUUUGGUGGAUCAAAGAUUGCAUAUGCCAGUCAUUUUUGCACUAGGUUCUCUCCAUGCUUUCACGCCAGCCAAAGUAGCUUUCGUUACCCAUAGUUGAGGAUCGGCUUCUAAAGGGUACUAACAUCCUUAGUCAUUCCCACAGAUGACACCAAUGUUGGUUCUGAGUCGGCUGAAGUCAAAUUCAUCCAACUUAACGGAAGUUUGACAACCUUCCUCCAUUUUUUGUGCCUCUUAGAGAAUCCACCUAGCAGUAAUGAGAUUGGGCGAACUCCUUUCUUGCACAAAAGAAUGUUCAGAUGAGUACUUCGGGUACGCCCUUCGAAGCUUAAGUGAGGCAAAAAUAGCUCAAACUACUUAAUGAGAGAGAGUGGAUAGGUGAAUAUGUGCCUACCUUGUUCGUGCUUUUUGAGGGGUUUAUAUAAUGUUGAUGAGAAUGCCACUAUAGUGCUUACUAGACACUUUAACUUUCUUCUAUAAUGAUGAUUGUCUUGCAGGCGGUUGGGCAAUCAUCAAAAUUUUGGGUGGCUGAUAGGUGCCAUCAACUAACGUGCCAUGAUCUUAGACCAUGCAGUAACCUGUUCCCUCAGUCUGUUGAUGGCCUAAGGUUAUGUGCAACAAUUAAUUGACAUGGACUUGAGGGCUAGAAGAGGUCCCAUCGGCCGUUCACAUGUCAAGUGUGAAUGAUCACUCAUGCUAGUGGGUCUUGAAGAUUUGACUAGACAACCUUACCUAUUUGGGAGGUCCAACCUCCCAUUGCCGUUGUUUUGGCCUUAUAGGAGAAAAGGGCUUUCUCAUGUAUGGUGCUAGAGGGACUAGUCGUGAUCCAGAUGAGUUGCAUACCCAUGCUAGAUGGUCGAAGUGUCCGGGUUGGAAAUGGAGGGAAGCCUCCCACAAAUAUGAGGGAGCCUUAUGAAAACGGAUCCUUAGGGCUUAAGAAGGGGUUUUCAAUUUUAAGGUUUGCCUUUUCACCCAAGGAUGUGAAUGGGAAGAUGAGGCGAAGUUAAAAGAUUGGUGAAGCAAAGUGAGGGCAAGGUAGGGUUUGAAUAAAGGAAAGUAUACACUAUUAAUGAAGAUGAUAAUCUCUAGAAAGAAAAACUAAGGUAAACUAGGGCUUUAAUAAUAAUUUUCAAUCUACACUAGUGAAGAGGAUAUCUUCGAAAACCAAAGUUAGGGCUUCAAUAACGAAUUUCAAUCUACAAUGGUGAAGACAAUAAUCUUCGAAAACCAAAUCUAUAAUGAUGAAGAUGAUUGAAAACUAAAUCUAUACUAGUGAAGACGAUUGGAAAGCAAAUCUACACUGGUGAAGACAAUGAAACCAAAUGUAGGUCUUCUAAACUAAACGCUUUUAAGGAUUUUCCUUUUUUUUUUCCUUUGUUUUCAAGAAAGGCAAACUCUUUAGAAAACUAAAAAAACUAAUGCAUUCUUAGAUCCAGAUCACUAUUUCCAACAUGGUAUUUGGAUUGCCAGCUUGCAUUUUUUAUUUUUUUAUUUUUUUAAUAGUCAUUGGCAUUUUAGGGAUUAUUGAAGGAUAAUAUCAUUCAGCUCAAUUUCCCAAAUUAGUUAGGUCUUACACUCAAAUGUGAAACUUAUAUGGAUGUUAGGCCAAUUAUCAAACUCAUCUGCCCUAAAACAUAAUUUCCCUUUUUUAAAAUAGUUGUUAAACAUCUAUCCCAAACACGUUUAACCCUUUGAAUUGCUUGUAUGUUAACCUUGUUUCCUUUUCUUCAUGCAACAUGGCUUAUUGAUGGUUGCAUUGAAUCAUUAUCAUUCACCAAUUCCAUGCAACUAUGGACUACAUUUCAAAUCCCUCGAACAUAAAUGGUAAUUCCAAAACAACUCAAGUAUAAUCUUUUCAACCCUUUCAAAUGAUUUAAUUAAUUGAUUUUUGAAUAUAUUCAUAUAUUUUUUUGAGCAAUUUUUAGGCAUAUAACAUAAAUCUCUUUUUUAUAUAUAUAUAAAAGGUUUUAUAUUUUAUAUUACAAUUUCCUUUUGUUUUUUCAUCUAAAAAACAAAACAUAAAACCUUAAUAAACGAGUUUUGUCACAAUCCCUUAACAAGUAAUCUAUUUUUUAAAUUACUUUAACAUUUUUAGAUAUAUUGAUUCAAUCUAAUUUACUUUUAAUAUUUUUUAUAAAAUAUUUUUACUUUAUAUGACUAUAAAUUAAUUACUAUUGAUUGCAUAUUAUAGAAUAUAUAUUCUAAAAUAUAUCUUAUUGACAAUAUAAUCAUAAGAUGUUAUAUCCAUAUCCUAACAUAUUAUAUACUUUUAUUUUGUGCAAUUAGCAACAUGGUGGGAAGUGGCAAGCAGCUUAACGGAAAUGUCAUGUGCCAAUGUGCCAUGCGUGUCCCUUCCCUUAGUGAGUCUGAACUGCUCCAACAUUUCCGACAUGUUAUUUUUUACUUAGCUCUUAAGUAUUUUCGUCUCGUUUUCGUUAACCCCAUCACAUUUCGCCACAUGGAUCUAAGCCUCAUGGUCCUUUCGUUCGUACAAUGAAUGUUCCCCCAAUUCCUUAUCUACACUAAAACUCCAUACUCGCCAUCUACUCAACCACUUCUCUACUCUAGAGUUUGGGUCCUUUAUCUCUGCACGUGUCUAUGGCUUUUCACCCCAACAAGUAUGGCAUUACAAGGGCAAUAUCGUCAUUAAAGACCCAAAAGGGAAACCAAUGGCAUUAUCUUCCUUUUGGUCUAUUCUAUUUAUAUUGUAAGUUAUUCGUGAUGACUUCUCCCAUAAAAGCUAAAAACCACUCCAAUAGAGCACACUUCACUUCUUCAUUUUUUUUUUUCCAGAUAAGCUCAGAAAGCCCAGCUCAUCCCUCAACUCCCCGAUGGGUUUGAUGAAUGUUCUUAAAUUCUCAACUGCAUGCUUUGAUCUUCUUAUCUGGUAUAUUGUCCACGCAUUUUCUUGUCAUUGGAAAAUUUUGGAAAAUGAAAUGGAAUUCUAUGUUUGAUGACAAAACUGGGAUUUGCUUUGAUUUCUCCAUGUUGGUUUUAUCCCUUUUGUUUGAAUUGUCCACAUUCUUGUCAUUGGUUGUUAGUUAUUUGUUUGGAUUUCUACUUGUAGGCCUCUGUUUGCACUGGGUUAUCCUCUAUAAAUCUUGGUCUUACACACCAAGAUAUGAUGAUUCAUUUACUCUUUUCUUGUUCUAUGAAUUCUUAGUUCUGUUACAUUUAUUGGGUUGGAAAACUGAAAAAGGAAAGGAUUAUUCGUUAUUAUCAUAAUAAUCAUCAACGUCAUCUCAAUUAUUCACAGAUGUGCAUCAAUUCAGGUAAUUGAGACUAACUCGAUCUCAGACAUUCAGAAGUUGGUGGCAUAUUGGGUUCUAUUUUCCUUGAUUUCACUUUUUGAUCGUACUUUUUCCAAGCUCCUUGAAUGGUAAUUUUGUUCAACUUCAUUCCAUCAUAUGUGGCUCUAUUUGUUUCAUUUCUUUGCCCUUCAGGAAUUUGGAGUUGCCUUUUUUAGUUUUCUUCCCUGUGAAAAUAAUCGAGAUGUUUAAUGUUCCAAGCCUCCAUGUAUUUUAUUUUCCUUCAUUUCUCUGCUUUGAUAAAUCCCCAUGAUUUGAUCAGCAAAAAGGCUAUAACAUUUGACAAAGAAAUGCUUUAUUUUGGUUUUUUAAGUACAACAAUUUUCAUUUGGAGAAAUGGUCUAAAGGGUAUCGGUGUUUGGAUGAAUCAUGGAAUUUUCUCGCUAAUUUGGGAUUUAUUCUCAAUUUCAAUAUCAUUGUGGAUAUUUCAAAAAUUAAUGAAAUAUAUAUGAUGGAAUGUGAUUUUCUUGUUUAAGAAAAGUUUUUCUUUAAAAAUUUAGGUAACCCUGACCUACCUUAUUGUGCUACUCGAAACACAAAACAAAAGUACAAGUAAUUUAGUAACUAAAUUGCACACUUUUUGAUAGUUCAAGGAAGUGGUGUUAGCUUUGGAAAUAAGAUGGAUCUACUAGUUUUUAUUUCUCAUCUUUAUAGGGAACUUUCCAUAAUAUAGCUUAUAAAUACCAUAAUCACAGUGAUGAAUAAUUGUCUUGUUUGAAAGCAUGGUUGCACUUAUUUGCAUGGAAUUUGUCUGCGUUGAAAUUAAAUUAAGCUUUAUGCAUCAUUUGGAUGCUGAGAAACAAAUGAAAAUAGAAAAUUCAAAAUUUGACAAGUUUGUGUAGGGAAAUUGGAUCUAAUCUCUUAAUCGAAGCUUAAUUAGGGCAAAUGUUGAUCCUCUUUGGACCUAUUGAAAGCUCUAAUCUGUGCACAAUUCUAAUGUUUUUGUUUCCUUAAUUUCUUUUUCAACUUUUCAACAAAGCAUCAAUUUGCUAUAAUAAAUGAGAACCAACUUGACGAUGAGAAAAAUGACUGGUGAUGAUGUCAUAGAGAAUCGCAGAUGAGAACAACCAAAAAUACUAGGAUUGGUACCACUGAUGGUAAUGAAGAAAACACAAAAAUGGUGCAAAUGGUGAACAGGAAACUCAAAAUGGAAUGGGAAAAGAAACCUAAACAAUAGUCUCCUAUAUAAAGCACACAACAUGUACAUCGAGGCAUCUGAAAGGACACGCUGCCUGAGAAGUCACUCUAAUUGAUGUGACUCCUCAUGACGUGGGUGGUGGACAUAUGUCCCAUGGUGCCAAAAAUUUCAAACACUCAAGCAACCGAAUACUUUCACUUAGUCAUUUAAAGCCUAGCUAGACUCAAUUGCAAGAAUUAAGGGCAUUGUGGGAUGCUCACCACCGUCUAUCAUGGUCCUCAAACACUGUCUGGUGUGAGACAUAUUGGCACAAGAGCCAUGUAGCUUCUCUAUCCACCCCAAGAUACUCCUAGGGUAGCAAACGAACACAAUCCGACCAAACACUAUGCAUUCCUACCCUACAAGCAUUAAUUUCAAUGAGCAAUAAGUGUAUUAACACAUUAAUGAAUGCAACCGUUAUAACGCUAAAACGCCAUACUUUAAGGUUCAUCAAGACACAACAACCAUUAUGGGCCGACAAUUAUUGGCGUUAAAUAUGGUAAUGCGCAAUCAAAGGCUCAAUUAAGGCCCUUUAGAAGACGUUACUAUUGGGCAAAGAUAAAUAACCAUUUUUUACCACAAGAAAGUCUGAUGCCAUUUUUUUCACAAAAACUUUUGCUUAAGUCUUCCAUCUCUAACCUAAGCUUUGAAGGGGUGUACUUGGAAAACCUAUCCGAACAUUCCUUUAUGUAGGUGCAAUCAUCGUUUAUGUCACGCGAAGGCUAGUCAAAGACCUUUAUUGGUCGUGCACCAAUAAAUCUAUUUAGUAUAUCUCAUUUAUCCGUUCAAGUGAGAUGAAGGAGUGACCUAAAGAUAGAUUGGAAACAUCAUAGUUUCUUAUAUUGGUAAGGCAGCAACAACCUCGGCUAGUGCAUCAACCUGCUCGUUUUCCUCUAGGGGUACGCGUUUGAUAAACCAUUCAUUCAAUUUUUCUGUUCAAGUGUACCAAAGAGAGGUAAUGAGCCAUGCAUUCAUCUCAAGCUUCAUAUUUUAGUUAGAUUUGUUCACCCACUAGUUGUGAAUUGCUUUUGAUUUCUACUUUCAUGGUUGUGAGAGCUAAGGCUAGAUCGUCUCAUAAGAAUUGCUUCAUAUUUUGCCUCAAUAUUAGAUACUGGAAAGUUGAGACAGACGACUUGUUCAAUUUGCUCUCCUGUAAGGAAUUGUUGUGUUAGUCCUAUCCUAGCUUCUGAUGUUCUAGAGGCUUCGUCUACAUGGAGAACACGCCAUUGUUCUUCAUUGUUAGACCUUGUCCAUUUUUGGGGUGGUUCGACUAUGAAAUCAAUGAGAACUUGCUAUUUGAGAUACUAAUGAGGUUUGUACCGUAUGUAAUAUUCACUCAAUUUGAUUGCCCAAUUCACCAUUCGACUAGAUAGAUUUAGCUUGUGCAACGUGACCCACAACGGUUGAUUUGUCAAGACCGUUAUUUGGUGCGCCUGAAAAUAUGGACAAAGCUUCUUGGCAGCGAUCCGUAAGUUCAGAGCCAUUUGUUCCACUUAAGAAUAUCGUGUUUUUGUGUCAAUCAUAGCUUUUCUCACAUAGUAAAUAAGUCUUUGUUCAUUACUCUAAUUGUGUGGAAACAAUAUGACAUUGACAGCAAAGUUUGACACAACCAGGUACAUGUAUAACUCUUCUCUAGCUUCAAGACUACUUAAGAUUGGUGGCUUCGUAAGAUACUGUUUGAUGUCUUUAAAGGCAUGCUCACACUCAUCCAUCUAACUAGACAUCUUUGCUCCCUAGAGUUUGCUCAAGAAAGGUCUGAGCUUAUUUAUGAAGCGUGUUAUGAACCAACCUAAGGUGAUUAGACACCCAGUUAGACGUUGCACUUCCUUCUUGCUAGUAGGAGCAGGGAUUUCUAACACUACUUUCACUUGAGCCAGAUCGACUUCAAUACCCCCUUUGAGUCACCAUGAACACAAGAAACUUCCACUCACUUACUCUAAAUGCAUAUUUUAUUGGAUUAAGCUUCAUGUCAUACCUGCACAUUAAACUGAAUGCUUCUUCCAAAUGGAGGAGCUUCUUGGAACGAGUUAUUCUCUUAAUGACAAUGUCAUCGAUAUAGACUUCCAACGUUCGACCUAUCAAGGGCUUAAAAAUAUGGGUCAUCAACUGUUGGUACGUAGCUCCAAUGUUCAUUAACCCAAGCGACAUGAUCUUGUAAAAGUACAACUCCUUAUGUGUAAUAAAUGUCAUCUUCUCUUUGUCAUGUGGAAACAUUGGUAUCUGGUGGUAUCCAAAAGAAGCAUCAAGAAAAGACAACAUUCCAUGCCUGGUUGUGGCAUCGACUAUCUAAUCUAUCUAGAGCAAUGGGAAGCUAUCUUUCAAGCAGACUUCAUUCAUAUCCACGUAGUCUGCGCACACCUGCCAUUUUUCUCCUUUCUUGGUACCACUACCACAUUUGUUAACUAGUCCAAGUAGGUCACCUCCUUGAUAAAUCUUCCUUUUAAUAGCUUCUCAACUUCUAUCUAGAUAAUUUUUUGAUGAUCCAACUAGAAACGUCAGACUUUAUAUUGUAUGGGUCGUGCUGUAGGAAGAAGGUUCAACUUAUGAGAGCUCACCGCUAGGUCUAUUCCAAGCAUUUCCGAAUGAAUCCACACGAGGAUAUCCUUGUUUUUACAAAGCAUUUCACCAACAUUACCACAUUCAUCCCUAGUUAGCAAAAAAUUAGCGUAAGUCAUCUGCUUAUUAUUUUUCGACAAAGAUAGCUAUUGUAAUAGGCUGAUUGCCAAUGAGUCUCUAUCCUCUAGUUUUCCUUCGACCUAAUUCUAUAAUUGUUAUUAGCUCUCUCUUGAUGAUUUGAGUUCAUCUUUAGUUGGGCCUGAACUCCAUCGCCACUUAGUAACACUACUAGGUGGCUAAUUGGAUUCCAUGUGGAUCCACUUACCCAAAUUCUGUCAGGUAGCUCACCAUCUUAUGAUAGGUGGAUGGAAUAACUUUCAUCUUAUGUAGGUACGACAACCUUAUGAUGGUGUUGUACGACGGUAAAUCCUCUACUAUAGAAAAUCAUACGUUGAGAGUAGGCGGGUUGGCUUGGACAAGAAGUACCACGUCGCAUAGUGAUAUUGUGGCAACCCUAUUAAACCCAAACAAAAGUCGAACUAGAUUUUCUAAGGCAGAUGACGAACAUCCCAUUUUCCUGUAGGUUGACAUAUGCAAUAAAUUGGAAUGAUCAUUUUAGGAAGGAUCACUUGAUUAAUGUUAAUUGAAGGGAAAGUGAUUGGGUCAUUGACUGGUCGGGCACUUUCGACAGUAAAUGUGCACUGAACUGCACUUACUCUUUCCCUCCCUGUAGUCGCACAGAGCAUUCGUCUCCUUUGUUGUUUGGAGUGAUAUUUGUCAUCUACUAUUUCCCCAUGGAUAUAGUUAAUCACUACUCGAUGUGUUGUGGGAGAGUCAGGAACUCACUCUGACACUUCACGUGUCAUUUCUUUAUGUCCACCAGUUGCUCAGACAUACAACUUGAGAUGUCCGGUAAUGAUUAGUUUCUCCACCAAGUAGUGCAAAUUUUUGCACUCUUCUGUGGUGUGCCCAUGCUCCUUAUGAUAGAAUCAUCGCAAUCCUCGAUCAUGCUUGGACGAAUCAGUUUUGAUGGGCUCUAGCCACUUGAACUCGAGCAGCUCUCAAAUCAAGAGGAGAAUUCUAUCAUAAAAAAUGGUCAACGGGGUGAGCCUAGGCGAUUAUCAUUGUUGUUGUCUUUCUUGUCCUUGAUUAGUCUAUCUAGACUGGCUUGAGGGCUUUAAGCUCUUAGCCUUCUUUUUUAAUUGCUCGGUUUAUAACCAGGAUUUGUUGAGAGGUUACCUAAACAUCCUCCUCAAGCAUGACAUGUUUGCCCACUCGUCUAAAUAGGUCAUUCAUUGUAGUGGGCAACUUUUUGGCCAUGGACUUGAAGAAUUGAGUGCUUGGACUGAUGAUCCAUUUGAAGAUCUGCAGGAUAGCAUCCAUGUUGUAAGAUUCCAUCUAGAACACCGCUUGUCUGAAUCACUUCAUGAAGUCCCUUAGCGAUUCAUUCUCCUACAUCUGAAUGUUCUAUAAGGUGCUUAUAUUCUGCUUUUGGCGAGCAAAACAUAAAUAAUGGCCCACAAAGGCCUCUAAAACAUCUGUCAUCUGUUGUUGGAAGUGCAUCAGGUGAACAAAAGAGUCACCAUCCCAUAGUAAAUAGUAAAUUUGGGCACCGGAAACCCCUGGGCAGCUCAUAACUAAUGAUAUGUGGGUCAAACGACAUGAAGAGCAUGUCAUCCAAUCAUCUACUUAUGGAGUCAAGAGGGGCUUUUGUCAAUGGGUUAUUUGUCGAUUGUAGUUCUAGUAUUGAACAUUAAGGCAGACGGCUUGGUGAUGCCUCAUCGUUUGAUUGGCCUAAUUGUGCUUUCAAGGCCUCCAAUAUGCAUGGCGAUGCUAGUGUUCUUCUCUCCUGAUACCCAAGAUAGGCUUUCAGGGCAUCUGAGAGACGUAAGCCCCAUUCUUAACCCAUUUUCCAUUUUUCUCCAAUAGAGCUUGCAACCUCUUUCGCUUGAGUUCGAUCGACUACUGAAUGCACUAGUUCAAGUAAUGUUAGCGAACUGCUAGUAGACAAUCCCUCAUCCACUGUUUGUAGAGACGACUUAGUGUAUCAUUGAAGAACUUUCAUUGUUUGGCUUCAAACUACUCUUGAAGUCGUCUAUUGGUUGGAGGUACGAUGACUUUUUUAUCAGCACCCCAUAGCCACUUGUGCUCGUAGCUCUUGGUUCUCUUGCUGUAGUUGUUCUGCCUGUUGGACAGGGACUACAUAGGUUAUUCAUAUUCUUCUUGCUUUUUUUCUAUCUUUCCUUGCCAAGCUUGGAAUCGCUCGUCAACAUUUGCAGAAUGAGUUGCAGGAGGCGUGUUAACCAUCGUGUUUUUUAGGCAUUUGUGGUUGAUUCCCAUAGACAAUGCCAAUGUUGGUGCACGACCAGUAAAAAAAGGUGUUUGGCUAGUCUCCAUGUAACAUAGAUGACGAUUGCACCUGCACAAAGGAAUGUCUGAAUGGGUUUUUCAGGUACACCUUUCCAAAGCUUAGGUCAGAAAUGGAAGACUUAAGCAAGAGUUUUUGUGGAAAAAUUGGUAGCAUACUUUUCUUGUGGUUAAGAAUAACUAUUUAUCUUUGUCCAACUAUAAUAUCUUCUCAGAUGCCUUAAUUGAGCCUUUGAUUGUGCAUUAUCAUCUUUAAUGUCAAUGAUAGCCAACCCAUAAUGGUUGUUGUGUCUUGAUGAACCUUAAAGGUUGGCGUUUUAACCUCAUAAUGAUUGCAUCCAUCAAUGCGUUAAUGCACUAAUUGCCUAUUGCAAUUAAUGCUUGUUGGGCAAGAAUGCAUAGUGCCCGAUUAGAUUGUGUUUGUUUGGUACCCUAAGAGUACCCUGGGGUGGACAAAAAAGCCACAUGGCUCUUGUUCUAACAUGUCUCGACUAGACAGUGUUUGAGGAUCAUGUUAGAUGGUGAUGAGCAUCCCACAGUGAAGACGUAUGAUGAAAGCAAAGGUAGGGCUUCUAAACCAAACGCUUUUAGGGAUUUUUUUUUUUUUUUCAACAAAGUUGACCUCUUCAAGGAAAAAAAAAAAGGUUAAAAAAACUAUUGCUUUUUUGGAUCCAAAUCACCAUUUCCAAUGUGAUAUUUGGAUUUCCACCAUGUAUUUUUUUUUUUUUUAACAGUCAAGGACAUUUUAUGGAUUAUUGAAAGAUAAUAUCUUUCAACUUAAUUUCCUACAUUAAUUAAGUCUUAGGCUCAAAUGUGAAACUUAAGUGGUUGUUAGGCCAUCAAACCCAUCUGCCCUAAAGUAUAAUUUCCCAUUUUCAAAAUAUAUAGUUGUUAAACAUCUAUCCCAAACUAUUGUAACCCUUUGAAGUGCUUGGUAUGUUAACCUUGUUUCCUUUUCCUUAUGCAACAUGGCUAAUUGAUUGUUGCAUUGAAUCAUUAUCAUUCACCAAAUCCAUUCAACUAUGGACUUACCUUUCAAAUCCCUCUAACAAAAAUGGUAAUUCCAAAACAACUCAAGUCUAAUGUUCUCAACUCUUUCAAAUGAUUUAAUUAAUUGGUGUUUGAAUAUACCUCUUAUAUUUUUUUAGAGCAAUUUUUAGGCACAUAACAUAAAUUUCUAAUUUUUUUUUAGAAAAGGUUUUAUAUUUUAUAUUUUAUAUUACAACUUCCCCUUUUUUUUCCAUCUAAAAAACAAAACAUAAAACCUUAAUAACCGAGUUUUGUCACAAACCCUUAACAAAUAAUCUAUUUUCCAAAAAUUACUUUAACAUCUUUAAACAUAUUGAUUUAGUAUACUUUACUUUUAAUAUUUUUUGAAAAAUAUUUUUAUUUUAUAUGAUUAUUAAUUAAUUAAGAUUGAUUGGGUAUGGUAGAAUAUAUAUUCCAAAAUACAUCGUAUUGAGAACAAUAUCACAAGAUAUUAUAUCCAUAUCUUAACAUAUUAUAUACUUUUAUUUUGUGCAAUUAGCAAUUGGACGGAAGGUAGGGAGCCGGCUUAAUGGAAAUGUCGCAUCUCACGUGUGUCCCUUCCCUUACCAAGUCUCAACAAAGGAUGAAAAUAUCGGUAAUCACGGAUAUAUCGGUACUUCGAUUUUACGGAUAUAUUAGAUAUAUCAGAGAUAUAUUGACGGAUAUUUUGGAAAAAAAUAUCGAUAAGCCUAAAAUUGAUCAAAAUUUAUAAAAAUAUAAAAAAAACUUCAUAAAAAUGUAAUUAAAAGAAGGUCGUAUAAGUUACUCAUGUUGAUCAUGUGAUAUAUCACGAGAUAUAAUCGAUUUUUGGGAAUUUCUCACGAAAAUAUCGCGACAUUUCUUCCUUGUCUCGACUGCUCCAAGAUUUCCUAUACGCCCUUCUUCGCUUAGCUCUUAAGUCUUUUCUUCUCCUCUUCCUCAAACCCAUCACAUUUCGCCGCGUGGAGCUAAGUCUCAAGGUCCUUUUGUUCGUACGAUGUAUGUUCCCCCAAUUCCUCAUCUACCUUGAAACUCCAUACUCGCCAUCUACUCAACCACUUCUCUACUCUAGAGUCUGGAUGCUUUAUCUCCGCGAGUGUCGAUGGCUCUUCACCCCAGCGAGUAUGGAAUUACAAGGGCAAUAUCGUCAUUAAAGACACAACAGGCAAACCAAUGGCAUUGUCUUCCUUUUGGUCUAUUUUAUUUAUGCUGUAAGUAUUCGUGCUUGACUUCUCCCGCGUCUCUUAUAAAAACUAAAGAAAACCACUCCAACAGAGCACACUUCAAGAAUCUUCUUUUUUUUUUUCUUUCCUCUUUCUCUUUACAUAUAUACUGAGAAAGCCCAGCUCAUCCCUCAAUUCCCAGAUGGGUUUUAUGAAUGUUCUCAAGUUCUCAGCUGCAUGCUUUGAUAUUCUUGCCUGGUAUGUUGUCCACGCAUUUUCUCGCCAUUGGAAAUUUUUGGAAAAUGAAGUGGAAUUCUCUGUUUGAGGACAAACAUGGGAUUUUCUUUGAUUUCUCCCUGUUGGUUUUAUCUAUAUUCUUUGGAUUACCCACAUUCUUGUCAUUGAUUGUUAGUCAUUUGUUUGGAUUUCUACUUGCAGGCCUCUAUUUGCACUGGGUUAUCCUCUGUAAGUCUUGGUCUUACACCUCAAGAUAUGAUGAUUCAUUUACUCUUUUCUUGUUCUACGAAUAGUUCAGUUACAUUUAUUGUGUUGGGAAACUGAAAAGGGAAAGGAUUAUUCUUUAUUAUCGUAAUAAUCAUCAACAUCAUCUCGGUUCUUCACAGAUGUUCUUCAAUUCGGGCAAUUGAGACUAACUCAAUCUCAGACUUUCGGAAGUUGGUGGCGUAUUGGGUUCUAUUUUCCUUGAUUUCACUCUUUGAUCAUGCUUUUUCCAAGCUCCUUGAAUGGUAAUUUUGCUCAACUGCGUUCCACUAUAUGUGACUCUGUUUGUUUCAUUUCUUUGCCCUUAAGGAAUUUGGAGUUGCUUUUUUCAGUUUUCUUUCCUAUGAAAAUAAUCGAGAUGUUUAAUGUUCCAGGCCUCCAUGUAUUUUAUAUUCCUUCAUUUCUCUGCUUUGACAAAUGCUCACAAUCUGAUCAGCAGAAAGGUUAUAACAUUUGAAAAAGAAGUGGUUUAUUUUUGUUUUUUUUAAGUACAAUAAUUUUCGUUUGGAUAAAUGGUCUGAAGGGUGUUUGUGUUUGGCUGAGUUCAUGGAAUUUUCAAGCUAAUUUGGGAUUUAUUCUCAAUUUCAAGAUCAUUGUGGAUAUGUCAGAAAUUAAUGAAAUAUAAAUGGUGGAAUGUGAUUUUCUUGUUUAAGAAAAGUUUUUCUUUGAAAAUGCGGGUGCACCAGACCUACCUUAUUGNNNNNNNNNNNNNNNNNNNNNNNNNNNNNNNNNNNNNNNNNNNNNNNNNNNAUCAGAUUCAACUGUGAUAGCCCGGAAUUUAAUUCAGUAUUCGACUCUUCUGGGAACAUGUUGGUUAUGGUUUCUCUCUCACUGUCCUCUUCUUUACACAUGACUUUUCAGUUGAGGAGCACAAAGCCUAAUGUUGAAGUGAAAGAGAUCAAAGCACCUGCAGCACCGGAGAAAAAAGGGGAACAGGUAAGUACUCUAAUGUGGCUAUUUAAUUUCUAUGGAGGCAGAUCCCCAGAGAAAUGCUGUUCAUGUAAAUUACUGAUGCAUUUGAUUCAAUGGCCACGGUUUUAAAAGAAAAACCACUUUAUGUAUGUUUCUGUGAAUGAGAGAACAAGUUUAUGGAUUAAAUGAUAUUUUUUAUGGUGAAAUAAUCAAUAAUUUUCAAAAUAAUAAUACAUUCCUGCAUGUUUUUGCAAUUCAUGAAUUCCUUUUAUGAUUGAUUCUUCUCACCUUUUUUCUCACCUCAGUGGAAGUGUGAAGAGCCUAAUGUUGCUCAAAAAGAGAUCCAAGUAGUCAAAGUAACAGAGAUAAAAAAUGGGGGGGAUGGAGCAAAGAGGGUAAGUUUUGCUUUUUAUUUAUAAAGUAGGCUGUCUUCACACAAGGAUUAUUAUUAUUAUUAUUGUUAUUAUUUUAAGACAUGAAUGUUGAAUGAUUUUGGAAUUGUCCUUGAAUCAUGUGAAGUGUGAAUGGUCUAAUGCUGCUAAGGAGGAGGUCAAAGUGACAGAAGUAACACAGAGAACAUUUGGUGGUACAGCACAGUGGGUAAGGUUUCAUGUCAUAUUUAAAUGGCUCCUCAUAUUUCACUAGGAUUAAUUUUGCCCCUACAAACUAUUUGGCUACAAGUUAAGACAGAGUUCCAGAUGCUGAUAAAGCUGAGACAUAAGUAAUGAACGAAUUUAGACACAUGCACAACUCUUGUGUGAAACACAAUGAGAGUGGAAAAUAGCUAAGUUGAAAAAUGGCCAAAUACUAUUUUGUAGUUCCCCCUACCACUUAAGUAAUUUUUGUCAUCCUUUGUGAAUGGAAAAUGCAGUCCCUUCAGUAAUUCCAUUAUAUUCAUGACUUGGUGAAGCAUAUAACCAUUAGUGUCUUACCCUAAGUCGACCUUUAAUGAUGAUCCAUUGAGAUGGGUCUGACUUUUGUCAACCCUCUUAUUCCCUUGAUCAUAGAGGUGAAACUUAGGGGGCUUAACCCACUUUUCAAUCUUAUUGGAUAUAUGGCACGUGGUAUCCUCUUCAUCUUGAAAGAGUGAAGUGGUCAUACUCUUUCCUCUGAGUCCAUUGUGGCCAUGCACUUCAGGCUCAUUGGGCUGAGUGAAAGGAUUCCCUUCUGCUUCAAAUCAUAGAGAGAUAUGCCAUGGUCAGCCUCUUUAAUUCAAGGGAUUGAAGUACUCAAAUCCAUUUCUCUGUAUCCAUCUUAGUUCUGCAUUCAUGUCUCAUGGUUAACCAAGAAGAUCCAGCCUCCAUCCAUGAGAUCAGCAUCUGCAGGUUUAUGACACCACCCUUCCUUUGCAUAGGAAAGGGAUCAUUAAGCCAUGUGUCGGAUGACAGAAGUCAUCAUUCAGGUUAUCUUGAGAACUAAGGAAGUUGGAAUUCUAAUUAUUGCAUAUGGUUCUUGAUGUUUAGCCAAUAUACUAUAGGAUUUUAAGCAUCAUGCUCACGUGCAUUGUGGUUGCUUAUCAGCUAUAUGGUUUGCCAAAAUGAGGGACUGAUUAUGGUCAUAAGUACCUUUUUCCCAUUAAUUUCUUGCAUGUGCUCUGCUGAGAUUAUGUUUUUGACAGUCCAAAUCAGGGCAAACCAACAAACAGCUUUAUGUUAACUUUUACAAACUGCCAUAUUUUCAGGUUAAACAAACAGAGAUAAAUCUUGGUGAAACUAGAAGUAAUACAACCUGUGCUGUGGAGAUAAAAGAAAGGGCAGCAGCACUGGUGGCUGCAGAAAUUGAGGCAUGUAGAGACGAUAGAACCCCCAAGAUACCUCUUCAUGAGAAAGUCCAGAAAGAGUGGGCUUGUGCUGUGUGCCAGUUCACAACCCAAACUGAAGCGACCUUCAAUUCCCACCUUCAAGGGAAGAGACAUCAGGCCAUUUCUGAGCAGCUGAGAGCCAAAAAUCAGGCAACCAAAACCAAUUGUUCCCCAUCUGCUUCAAUGGCCAAGAAAUCUGAUCAGUCCACCAAAGAGGAGCAACCGAAGUGUACUUCCAAUCUGAAUUCCAAAAACAAUGGAAUCUCAGCUGCUUCAACAGUGAAGAAACUUGAUGAGACCAAAGAUGAUGAGCAACAAAAGUCUGCAUCUAGCAAUGGACCGAACCAGAAGAAUAACAAAAAGCAAGAGGUACAGACCAAUGAGCAAGGCCGUCAGAAGAACUUAAGGCAAACUGGUGAUGGAAUGAAAGAGUUGAGAUCAUGGUGCAAUAUCUGUAAUGUAAGCUGCACAAGGGAGCUUGACCUGGCCUCGCAUCUCAAUGGAAGGAGGCACUUUGAUAGGAUAAAGCAGCUGUCUGAAUUAUGGUGCAGUAACUGCAAUGUAAGGUGCAACAGUGAGGUUGAUAUGGCCUCUCACCGAAAUGGGAGGAGGCACUUGGAGCAGCUGAAGGAACGGUUAGGAUUAUGGUGCAGUAUCUGUAGUGUGAGUUGCAACAGCAAGGUGGACAUGGAUUCUCACCUAAAUGGGAAGAUUCACUUGGAUCAGAUCAAGGACCAGUUAAGAUUAUGGUGUGGGGCAUGUAAUACAACCUGCAAGAGUGAGCGCAACAUGGCCUUUCAUCUGAAUGGGAGGAAGCACUUAGAGAAGAAGGGGAAUACCUGAUUUGCAUGUUUCUUCAGAUUAUUGAUACUUACAAAUGGUUUUAGUUAGAAGCAUACAGGCCAGUGGGUGGUGGUCACAGAUGCCUCUAUUUUGUUGUAUGAAGUAAAAACAGUAUUUCCAUGUCCAGAAAUCAACCACUUGUUUAGUGCAUGCAUGGCUGGUUCAAAAUUAAACCUAAUUGUGAAUGACUAGGAGCAGGGAGGGAAAAAUUGAAGGGAAGAAUGUAAGAUUAUGGCUUCAUUUUUAUUUUUUCCUCUUCUGAAAAUUGUAAGAUUGUGUUAGGAGGAGCUGGAAUGGGUUCAAAUCAGGAAUUAAGACCCAGUUCCAAGACAUGGAAAGUGUCUUUAGAUUAUGUUAAGUUAUUUCCAUUUUUUUUUCUUUUCUAUUUUUUUUCUUUAUUUAUUGUAAGAGGGAGCAUAAAUGAAUUUUUAUUUUUUAUUUUUUUUUUCAGAAUAAAGAUGAAUUUGAUAAUUUCAAUUAUUGCGUUUGGAUGUAUUUCGGAACGUAAGAUUGAAAUAAUUAUUUGUUUUCAUUUUAGUGUUUGAUAAUAAUGAAAGUAUGAAUUAAAAAAUAAAUUGAUAAUAAUACUCUUACAUUUAAUUUAAAACAAUUUUUUAUUUUUAUUUUUAUUUUAGAAGAAUAUGGGUUAAUUUUAUUUAUUUAUUUUUUAAAUAAUAAGCUUAAGAAAAAUAAUUUUUACUCAAUAAAUAAAAUUAAUCAUACAAAGUCAUAAAAACCAAACCAAAAUAUAAGGGUAAAAUAGUAAUUUUAAAAUAUUCAUUUAAGUUAUCCAAAUGCAUUCCUACUCUUCAUUCUCUUGUACGAAAUACGGUCUUUAAGCGUUUGUCAAACUUAUUUCUUUUUUGGCAAUAUAUCAAUAUUUUAGUAAUAUUUUUAUCGAUUAGUUGCUGAUAUUUAUCGCCACGUCACCAAUUCUUUGAGUUUGACUUUCAAAAUUUUGAAAUGAUCAUUGAAGUCCAGUUCAGCCCAAAUCACUACACCCAUGAAAGGGAACGGCUGGGCCACCACACUAAUAUGGCCCAUACAUGGGACCUCGUAAAAGAAUACCCAUCUUCAAAAAUAGGGACCAUAUUAAAUUAUUAAUGUAGCUAUAGGAAGCAUUUGAGGACAAGGGUCAUGAUUUUUCCCUUUUCUUUUUCUCCUUAAUUUUCACAUCACCCAACAACACCACUCUUAAUUCACACAAAUUUGAAGGUUUGGAAUGAGACUUAUUCGUAUUUAUAUUGUAAUUAUGCUAUAAUAAUCGUGUCGUAUUUGGAUUUAUUUAUUAAAUCCAUCUAAAUCUUUUGUUUAUUCGUGUCAAAACAAUAUAUUUAUAAUCGAAUCCAUUUAUGACAUAUUCAUCUUUUAUAAAUUUAUUAAUUUUAUAUAUUUUAAAAUUAUAAAAAUUAAAUAUAUUUUUUCAAUUAUGAAAUCAUAUUACUAAAAUAUUAAAUAAUUCAUUAACUUGAAAUGUUUUACAUUUCAUUAAUUAUUUUAUAAUUACAACAUUAAGUGAAAUAAUAAAUAGGUAUAAAAUAUAUAUUUUAUUUUAGUUAAAAAUUAUAAAUUGUUAUUGAGACAUAUAACUAUUAAAAUUCUACCCAUUUGACUAUCAAACAAACAACUUAAGUUUUUAGUCAUGAUUUAAGCUUAUGAUAAACUCUAUUUACAAAAAUUAGAAACCAAAAUCAAAUUCUUCCUAGACUCAAAAACAUAAAGACAAUCUUUUAACUUUAGAAGACAACUAUCAUCUAAGAUAAGGGUAACUCAUCCCAUUGCAUGUACAACAAUUCUUGCUUCAAAAGCUAAUGUUAGGUACAUAUCCCUAUCAUUCAACCUUUCCCUUAGCUAAAACCCCUAUAAAGAAUUAUAAACAUGAUCAAUGGCUCCAAAAUUUAUCCACCAAGAGUUAGUGGAAUCUAACACUAAAAAUGAUUCAACUAAAAGAGAAUGAUGCAUACCUAACUGUCUCUUCAAGAACUAAGGGCAUUCCUUCUUCUAGUGGCUUUUUUUACCACAAAGGAAACACUUAUCAUGACCCUUACUCUUCUUCUUUUUCCCUUGCCCUUGAACUUUCCCUUCUGCUUGGUGAAUUCUACAAUGUUCUUCUUAUUUUGGUUAGAAGAACCUAAAGAACACUUAACUGCCAUAUAAAUACCUCUCUGGUCCUUGAGAAUUCCCUCAAUUGUUUUGUGUUCUCUCAUCAGUUCGGUUAUAGUUUAAGAAAAAAAAUGUUUUUUUUAUGUGACUAAACUUGGAAUGAAUGUCCAAGUUGCAUACAUACUCGGGCUAAGAUCAAGUCAUAACGUAGUUUAAGAAAAAAGAUUUUUUUUUUUUUUUUUUUUUUUUUUUUUUUGUGAUUGAACUUGGAAUGGAUUUCUAAGCUACUUACGUAUCCAGGAUGGGAUCAAGUUCUAACAUAGUCACAAUGCAGUUCAAGAAUUUUUUUUUUCUUUUUUUGUGCUCUAACUUUUGCCAAGACUAAAGAUCUUAAUUUUGCGAGCAUGUUCUAACUUUUGCCUAGGUCGCCUUUCCAAGUUUUCAAUUUAGCAAACAAGGUUUUUUUUUUCUUUUUUUUCUUUUUCUUUUUUUAGUUCUCUAACUUUUGCCAAGACUAAAGAUUUUAAUCUUGGAAGCAUGUCUUAACUUUUACCUUAAGUCGAAUUUUUAGGUUUUCAAUGUGGUGGAUUUUUUUUUUUUUUUUUUUUUUUUGUGUCGUAGGUAAUUUAAGCUCAUAUGGAUUGGAAGCAAUGUGUAGUUUGUUGGGAUUAAGCCCUUAAAAGCAAGACAUGAUGUAAUAAAGUUAAACUUAACUAUUUCCUUACUAUCUUUUUGGUGUAUCAACAUUGAUUUAAACAUUCAACCCAUAUCUCUUACAUUGUACAUGAUUUAGGAGCAUUAAGAGUUGCACAAAAGAUACAAGUUAUGGGUUCCUUGUAAGUAGAUGAGUUAUCCAUAGUCAUUUCAUGGAUUUGGGCAAUCUAGUAGUGACUAUAGUGCACCACCUCCUAAUUUAAGGGAUGACUUGUCUUGGCAGUUGGGAUGAGUUUCCUAUGGUGAGCGUACUAGUGUAAAUGAUGCACAUUGGACAGGACCUAUGGUGAAUCAUGACGCAAGGCUAUCAAUUGUCAUGAUUCACCAAGUUACUAUACUACAUGGACUCUCAACCUUGAGAGGACAUUGAACCCAUGUCAAAAUCAAUAGAAAGUUUUGACCUAUGGGCGAGACCCUAAAGUAGUCAUAUAUUCCUAUGGAUUAGGUCAUUGUUGAUGUAGGCUGGUUAUAAUAGGCAUUCUCAAUAGAGGCACCAUGAUAUGUCAUGGGAUUGAGAUGGUGUGUCCCUUUGGGUGAUCCAAAGAACAUGUGAUCAUGAAAUUUGUGGCCACAGUAAUUCCUUUAGUGAAAUUUGACAUAUGCUCCUUGGAGUUAGAGUAUGUCAAUUGAUCACAUAAUAAGUGAGAUCUAUAACUCAAGGAUUUGAGAGAUAAUAUUGAUAGGUGAUAACACUAACUUGUUAGAUUUAGACACCAGUUUCAUGAGGAAUAUGCAUGUAGUGGAUAGUAGGUCAUGAAUGCGAGCUUUGUCUCGUUGUUAUUUACAUAAGGUACCGGAGUGUAGUUGAUUCUCUUUAGUAGAGUGUUGAAUCAACUUCAAAAUUGGAUUAUGAGGUAGUCAGUACUCCUAUGGGUCUCAAUGGUCCCCACUCUGAGCUAAUAUACCAUGAUGACACAAUUUAUGAGGGUUGGAUUGACUUUAGGUUCAUUCUUAUGCAUAAGGGCAUUUUGAUAAUUACACAAGGUUGCAUAGGGGAUAAUAAAUAAGGUCUCUAGAUUGGACUAAUUGAUUAAUUAGAUGGCCUUAUGUGGUUAAUUAAUCAAUUAAGACAUGUUAGGGCUAGAUUAAGUGACCCAAGCCUUGAUGGGUUCAAGUCACUUAAGCCUAAUGGGUAACCGUAUAAAUACCUCCUUAUGGGUUAGGGUUUUCUAAUGACUUUUAGUUAGUCAUCUUCCACUUUUAGAAAAAUAGAGAGAGCCAAAGCUUCCUCCUUUCCACUGCCCACACUUUGGUAUGCCAAGAUCGGGAAUCGAGUCAUCGAACAAAAGAUCUUAGGUGUACGAGACCUUUGAACUCUUUAGGCUUCUUCUUCGUUGGAUGGAUUUUGAUCUGGGAACAUCUAGAUCACAUGUAUGUGUUAUAAUAUUUGGUUAAUUCAACCUAAGGUAAUCACCCUAGAGAAGGGGUGAAUAGGGUGAUGAUUUUUUUUUGCAAAUUUAAAUUAUGUGAAUGCAAGAGACAAUUAUAUGCAAAAUAUAUGGCAAAACCAUAUAAAAACAAUUGCAUAUAAAGUAAAAGGUUAAGGAAGAGAGAAUAUAAACACAAGAUUUUUAUAGCGGUUCAGUGCAACCCGACCUCCAUCCAUUCUCUUCUAGCUUCAAUACUAAACUUGAGGUUCCACUAAUUCAAGGCUUCCAAUCCAAGCCUUCAAGUAAUACAAUUGGAUUAUGGUUCCAAUCAAACCUCUUGAAAUUUUAGUUCUAAACACAUUUUACAAUCUUCAAGAGAUACCUCACUCUUGAACAACUCCUUAAGUGAUACCUCACACUUGAGAAUCCCUAAGUGAUACCUCACACUUAGAUUUUUCAUCUCAAAGAUUUAUCCGCUCUGCACCCACCUCCCGAGUAUAUGCUUCAACAGGAAUCACACAAGGGUAGAUUGAUACAAUAGAAACCUCUGGUAAAAUGCCCGCUCGUAACCCAGCAGAUAAAGUACAUUACAUAGUCCGUUUUAGGGAUUGGCUACUUACCCAUUCAGUGACUUUGGCACUGGACGUUCCCAAAAUGGGUACUAUCGGGUCGGGUGAAUUCAAUAAUAGACGCCUGUUGGCAUUCCAGCCUUCCUUCUCCUUUCAGGGCCUAUCCGAAAGAGAAUCCAGUACUUCUUGGUCAAAUGAAGAUAGGAAAUUAUUAGCCUAAGGACUCUCCUAAUCGGGUUUUGAUGAUAACAAACCAUGAUUAAAUGACUAAUUGGUUUAAUGGUUAAGAAUCUCAAGCAUAAACUCGAAAAUUCAUCAAAUGACCAAAUGGAUACAAGAUCGAGACAUUUGGAAGACUUGUGAUCAUAGGAAACUAAUGUAAGAUGAAUGCAUGAGUGCACUUAGGAUUUUCAUACCGUUUCAUACAAUUUAGAAAACUCAGUUUAUUCUUUAAAACUUCAAUUUCAUUAAAACCCGAGUUUUAACAAUUGUACCUCAGGCAAAAUGUUUUAAAAUUGGCAUAAUAAUUCACCUAAAAACCUUGCCUAAGUGUUAGGAAAGAAAGGAAUUGAAAAAGAUAGGUUUUCGGGGCCAAAAGGCUCAACCGGUCGAGGCUAUGGCCAACCAACUCAACCGGUUAGGGAAUCGGUCGACUGGUUACCCUUGUCCAGUUGAGGUCCGAUCGAAGGAUGCACAAAAUUUUCUCUCUCUCCCAGUAGCCUUCUCUUCCCGGUUGAGGUUAUUCUCUUCCCUGUCGAGGUCCGGUAUAGGCAACGGUAACCUGUCAAGCAUUAAAUGCUCCAACGGCUAGCGAACCGGUCAACCCCUAGCUCGACCGGUCAAGGUUACCUUUUGUUGUUUUUGACUCCCGAGCUUAGAAACCUAUAAAUUGAGAGCUCCACUUCAUUUAUUGACGAGAUAACACUUGCAAUCAAUUGUCUACCUAUUUGUUCUUGAUCAGAAAGCUCUCAUUUCUUUCUUAGUACAUUAAAUCAUCACUUGCAUAUCCUUUAGUGCACUCUUGUGUGUCAUCCUAGAUUUGUCUUGUAUUUGAGCUAUCUUUAAGCUAGGUUGAGGGAUUCAUUCUUGUAAAAACCGAGUGUUAAAGCCUUCAAGAAGUUUAAAUCUUGAAGAGAUUGUGUAAGAGUCCAUUGGAGCCAAAAUCCAAGUGUAAGAAGAUUGGAAGUUUGGUUGAAGUUUCAAGUUAGUGGAACCUUCACUCGGUUAGGAGAUUGAGGAGACUGAACGUAGGCAAAGAAGUGUCGAACUACUAUAAAACCCGAGUUUGAAUUCUCUAACUCUAGCUCUUUAUUUUGCUUAUAUUGUGCUUGAACUCGUUGUGAUUUAAAAGAAUUUAAAAAACCCCUAUUUGGGUGUUUUUCUUAAUUAAGCAUAGCCUUUAUUUUCUCAUAAAUAAUCUUACAAAAUCUUAGUACAAACUUUAGCCUUAAAUGAUACAAAAUAAACUAGGAUUGAAUGGUGCACUAAUGAUAUGUAAGUUUUAAAACAAUGUGUACAAAAAACACUCCCCUAAAGCUCAAAUAUAUUCGAGAAAGGUUUAAGAAGGUUAAACUCUUGAAACAAUAAAUAUUGAAACCUUUUUAUAGAAGAGAAAAACCAAACUACCUGUUGGGGAUUCGUUCGAUCAAGCUCUGGUUCGACCAGUUCACUAGCCUUUAGCAUUUAAUGUAUGAUAGGUGACCAUUGGACCUUGACUACCCCUUGAUUGGUACUCGACCGGAUGAAGUUCAACCUUGAUUGAUCGAAUAAGCAUUCUGGAAGAGAGAUAAGGUUUUUGCACCUUUCAACCGAGUAAGCUGAAUAGGUCGACUAAUUUCUCAUUCGAUUCAACCGAUUGAGUCAUUUUUUGCUCAACAACUAUUAUUUUCAACUUAAAACCUUUUAAACAAGUUUGGAAAGCAUUUGACAUAAGGUUUUAGUUGAAAACAUGAAAUCAUCCAAUUUUUAAAAGAUUUAAAACAAAAUAACUCUUGAAUGAUUUUGGUGUAUAAGUAAAGAAUGUAAUGCAUGAAAAACCCAAUGCACCAACAACCUUACAAAGAGAUCCUAUGAGUCUUAGGUCUUGAAAAACACUUAUCUUUAAGGUCUUCUUCUUCUUAUUGAUUUUAUCUUUGUGAUUGCCACUUUGGAAAUCAUCUUGCCUAGUCACACUUAAAAUAUAAUCAUUAGUUCUAAAUCUUGUUUUGUUAUCAUCAAAACUAAGAUUAACCAAACCUUGGUUUCACAAUAUGAAUAUUGUAUCUCUAGAUCUAUAGUUAAUAGUGGUUUUUAUAGUCAUUUGUUUCCAUUGCGAUAAAUUUAGAGAAGCUUAGGGAUAGAUGAAUGCACCCUAUGAGAUCUAGGGCAUAGGAAUGGAGUAAUCCGGGGUUCCUAACAUAGUUUAGGCUUGUGCUUCAUGGAGUGAUAACAAUUCUUCAAGCAUAGUUAUGCUUUAGAAAUUUGUUAUUGAUUGGUCCAAUUUUUAGACCAUCUUCAGCAACAAUCUUGUGUGCACCAUUGAUAUAAUCUUGUUAUACAAAAUAUGAUCUAUCACAUUUUUGGCAAGAACUUUCCACUGGUUUUGUGCAUGGUAAUGAUCAUGCAUGCAAACUUAACUAAGUUAUACACUAGAUGCCAAACUACUACAAUUCUUAUACACCUUCCCGUUUUGUGCAACUGAACAAUUCAACAUCAUAACACCAAAGUUCUUGCUUAGAUUUCCUACAGUGCUAAAAUUUUGAAAUGAUUAAUUUGUUUAUUUUUCUUUCAAUCCCAAGACCCACAUACAUCAUGUCAUGCCCUAAGACCCACUCUAAGGGCAUGACAAUCAUUUCACAUCUCAAGGUCGAAAGCUCAAAGUGUAAAUUGACCUUAACAUUCAUUUUGUAACUGGAAAAUUAUCAAUUACCAAAUUCAUAUUUAUAGUAGUAGAAUAAAAUUCUACAAGUUUCAAAUCUCAACUUUAAAGUUAACACAUCAACUAAAGUGUUAUUGUCCAAACAACUUCAAACUUAACAAUUCAAGCAAUCAUUAAAUUCUAACUUUCAAAAAAUAUUUUUUAAAAAUAAAGAUUUAACGAAAAGUCUUAGUAUUGCCAAAAUCUCAUCCUAACCUUCACUCCUAGCCUGAAUUAAGGUGCCUAAAAAAUUGUCAAUGAAAGGAAAUGAGAUCAACGCUCAAUAAGGAAUAUUAAUAAGGUUUCAUGGAUCAAACAUUUUUAAUUAUAAUUCCAAAUAGGAGAUAUAAUAUAUAAUCAUUUUCAUAAGAAAUUUUGAGUUUAAAUAUAAUAAUAUAUUGAAAACUUUUCAGCUAAACAUUUUCAUAUCUAUGUCAAAACAAUUUCAUAUCAAAUUCAAAUCAAAUAUAUACAAAAUAUUUUUACUUUGGUUAUCAAAUGUCACAUGGUGUCAAGUUAGGUGGGACUUUACAAAUUGGUGUCUAACCUCAAAUUUUUUCCUUUCAAGGUGGACGAAACCAAACACUACUAGUAUUAUUAACAUCUAACCAAAUCCCUAAAGGGUGAGAUCUAAAGCAAUUACAUUCUCCGCCAAGAAAUAUAAGGUCAACAAUUAUAACUCGUUGACUAGGGACAAAAAUAAACUAGAGUCAAACACCUUAUUUCAUUAAUUCAAACUUGCAAAACAAAAACAUCAUAUCUCCAUAAUUUUCAUUUUUUAUAAACAAAAGAAAUGUUCUAACAUAGUUUUUUCAUGAAAAAUAUAUAUUUGAUCCAUGCAUAAAAAUAAAAAUAAUUUUUUUAUUAUUCAAAAUAACAUAUAAAAAUAAAUAUGUUCUUUUGGCCAAAACAUGUAUUAAUUUUUCUUACCUCAAAGAAACACUCAAAGACCUUGAAGCAAUUAAUCCUAAAGAAUUUCACCCCAAAAAACAUAUUUCACACCUUACUAAAAAAAAAAAAACAAAACAAAAAAAUUACUAUUGAUUAUUUAUCUAAUAAUAGUUUUGUAUUUUAUAUCACCUAUAUUAUUUUUAACUUCCUAAUAAAUAACAAUUUAAUAAGCGAUUUUCCAAAUUUUUAAAAGUUAUGUUCUUUCCAAAAUUUAUUCAUAAUAUUCUAUUAUUAUUAUUAUUAAUUAAAUCUCUCAAAAAUAUGUUUUUUCUAUUUAUUGCAUUAAACUAUUAUUAUUAUUAUUCAAUUUCAAUUUGAUUAAUUGGUUUUUUCUUUUAAAUUCCUAAUUUAUAUAAGAUUCUUGUUUUGAAAAUCUUCCAUAUUUACUUAUUUGUUUAAAGUAAAUUUCUCCAAAACUUGUUCCUUUUGGUUAAACAAGUAUCUUUUCCUAUUAUUAUUAUUAUUAUUAUUAUCCCUAAUAUUAUAUUCAAAUAACUAAACAAUAAUAAUUUAAAUUAGUGAGUUUCCAAAUUUUUAUAAAACUCAUAUUCAUUCUAAAUCUUAUCAUAUAUAUCAAUUUCUUUUAUAUACUUAAAUUAAAUUAAAAAAUUUACUUAAAAAAUAUAUAUAUUAUAUUAUUACUUUCAACAUCCUUCUACCACCCAAACAAUUACUUCAAGUAAAAGUCAUAUAUCCUUAUUCUACUAACUAUCCUCUCUCUUGCAAUAGCACACUUAGGGAUGGCAAUGGGGUGGGUUCGGGAUGGAUCGCCCCUAUCCCAACUCCUCCCCAUUUAUUCAAAAUAAUUUUCAUCCUCGUCCCAUUUAAAAAAUUAAAUGAGGCAGGGCGAGUAUGAUAAAUUCUCAUAUUCGCCUCGCCCCGCCCCGUUUAACUCUUUUUUGAAUUUUUUUUUAAAAUUACUUUAAAAAUUUUUAAUUACAUUAAAAUAAAUAUAUUUUAUAAAUAAUUAAAUUAUUAUAUUUUUUAUAACUUAUUUUAUUAAAAAUAUUUUAUUAUUAUCUAUAUAUUAAAAAUAGUAAAAUAAAAAUUAAAUUAAAUUAAUUUUAUAUAUAAUUGGGGUGGGACGGGAUGAGGCAAUACCCAAACCUGCUCCGGGUUUUAAAAAAAAUUCUCAAACCUAUCCCAAACCCGUUUAUUAAAAUUAAAUCUCGUCUCAUUAGGGACGAGGCGAGUACCUGAAAAAACCUGCCUCAUUGCCAUCCCUAGGCAAACUUUCAUUUUUUUUUUUUUUUUUAUCUUUUUCCUCCUUAAGAUCAAUCCUAUUGUAAGCACCCUUUUUUUUUCUACCACAUCUUGUUGCAAGCAACCUUGUAAGUUUUUUUAAUUUAAAUUUUUUUUCCACUAUGGAGGCACGUACAACCAUAAAACCUCCUCUUUUUUUUAUUUUAUUUUUACAACUCUCAAAUCUCUCAACCUCCAUACUAUUAGGUUUUAUUCAUUUAUUUAUUAUUAUUAUUAUUAUUAUUAUUAUUCCAUAUCCAAAACUAUAAUUAAUUUUCUUUUAUAUUUUUUUAUUUUAGAUCUAUUAAUUUGAAUAUUCGAAAUUUUCUAAUCUUACUAAUAACUCUAAACGUUCAAAACUAAUUAAUGAAUAUAAAAUAUUAAUCUAAGGAUUAAAAUCUUAUAUAGAAAAUUGAUCUUUAAAUCCUAAACUCCCAAAUUUUCAACCUUACGUUGCCCUAUGUUGUCCAAUCUCUUAGAUCUCCAUGUAAAAGGGUUUUUUUUUUUAAUAGAGUAAAUAAGAAAAAUUUAAUUUAUACCUAAAAUUUUAAAAUGGAGAAAAAUCUUUCUACCCUUAUUAAUUUAAUUAAUUUUUUUAAAUUAUGUUUUUACCCUUGAAUUGGGUCUGGGCAUCACACAUCAUACUAAAAAGUUAUCAAUAACCAUCCUUUGAGGCACAUUAGCAUAAAUUUGCGACUUUAGUUGUGUUCUAGGUGCAAUUCUAUUAUGUUUAAUUGAAAAAUAACACCCAUAGCACAACCAAGCCUAAUUGACAGCAUUUGGGCAAAUAAAUGGUAAAUUUCUAAAAGUUCACCAAAAAAAAAAAAAAACAAAAAAGAUCAUAAAGGGCAUAUUUUUCAAGUCAACCUAGUUUUGGGAUAUUGCAAUCCAAUCUAAGAAUGCAAUAAUAGCUCUUUAAUUCAUAAUUUUAAAUUCACAAAAGAUAUCACCUAAAAUUACUAUAGGUUACCAAAACAUCAACAACAUAUAGAAAGCUUAGAAAUGCUUGGAACCUAUCGAAUUUUCACUUUUUAGGAAUAAAAAAAAAAUGAACUUUAAGGAUUUUAGGGUAAUACUUGCUUGAACCAUCUUUCAAUCCUUUUGUUGGCGGUGGGCCUUUUACCUAUAAGAACAGGAAUGAGAGGUGAAAAGGAGGGAGCCUUAUGAAAACGGAUCCCUAGGGCUUAAGAAGGGGUUUUCAAUUUUAGGGUUUGUCUGUUCACCAAGGAUGUGAAUGGGAAGAUGAGGUGAAGUUAAGAGAUUGGUGAAGCAAAGUGAGGGCAUGGUAGGGUUUGAAUAAGGGAAAGUCUACACUAUUAAUGAAGAUGAUAAUCUUUAGAAAGCAAAGCUAAGGUAAACUAGGGCUUUAACAACAAUUUUCGAUCUACACUAGUGAAGACGAUAUCUUCGAAAACCAAAGCUAAGGCAAGCUAGGGCUUUAAUAACGAAUUUCAAUCUACAAUGGUGAAGAUGAUAAUCUUCGAAAACCAAAUCUAUAAUGGUGAAGAUGAUUAAAAACUAAAUCUAUAUUGGUAAAGACGAUUGGAAAGCAAAUCUACACUAGUGAAGUCAACGAAACCAAAGGUAGGUAAAAAUAAUAAUAAUAAUAAUGCAUUCUUAGAUCCAAAUCACCAUUUCCAACAUGGUAUUUGGAUUUCCACCUUGUAUUUUUUGUUUUUAAUUUUUUCAAUAAUCAAGGACAUUUUAGGGAUUAUUAAGUGACAAUAUUCUUCAACUCAAUUUCCCACAUUAGUUAGGUGUAAGGCUCAAAUGUGAAACUCAUAUAGAUGUUAGGCCAAUCAUCAAACUCAUUUGCCUUGAAGCAUAAUUUCCCCUUUUUAAAAUAGUUGUUAAACAUCUAUCCCCAACACUUGUAACCCUUUGAAGUGCUUGUAUGUUAACCUUGUUUCCUUUUUCUCAUGAAACAUGGCUUAUUGAUUGUUGCAUUGAGUCAUUAUCAUUCACCAAAUCCAUGCAACUAUGAACUACCUUUCAAAUCCCUCGAACAUAAAUGGUAAUUCCAAAACAACUCAAGUAUAAUCUUUCCAAGCCCUUCAAAUGAUUUAAUUAAUUGAUGUUUGAAUAUACUUCAUAUAUUUUUUUAGAGCAAUUUUUUAGGCAUAUAACAUAAAUCUCUAAUUUCAUUUUAUUUUUUUUAUAAAAGGUUUUAUAUUUUAUAUUACAAUUUCCUCUCUUUUUUUUCAUCUAAAAAAAAAAACAUAAAACCUUCGUAAACGAGUUUUGUCACAAUCCCUUAACAGGUAAUCUAUUUUUAAAAAUUACUUUAACAUUUUUAGAUAUAUUGAUUCAGUCUAAUUUAAUUUUAAUAUUUUUUAUAAAAUAUUUUUAUUUUAUAUGAUUAUAAAUUAAUUACUAUUGAUUGCAUAUUAUAGAAUAUAUAUUCUAAAAUAUAUCCUAUUCACAAUAAUAUCAUAAGAUAUUAUAUCCAUAUCCUAACAUAUUAUAUACUUUUAUUUUGUGCAAUUAGCAACAGGGUGGAAGACGGCUUAGGCGGGAGACGGCUUAACGGAAAUGCCGUCUGCCAUGCGUGUCCCUUCCCUUAGUGAGUCUGAACAGCUCCAACAUUUCCGACACGCCCUUCUUCGCUUAGCUCUUAAGUAUUUUCGUCCCGUUUUCAUUAACCCCAUCACAUUUCGCCAUGUGGAUCUAAGCCUCAUGGUCCUUUCGUUCGUACGAUGAAUAUUCCCCCAAUUCCUUAUCUACACUAAACCUCCAUACUCGCCAUCUACUCAACCACUUCUCUACUCUAGAGUCUGGAUCCUUUAUCUCUGCACGUGUCUAUGGCUCUUCACCCCAGCAAGUAUGGCAUUACAAGGGCAAUAUCGUCAUUAAAGACCCAAAAGGCAAACGAAUGGCAUUAUCUCCCUUUUGGGUCUAUUCUAUUUAUAUUGUAAGUUUUUCGUGAUGACUUCUCUCAUAACAGCUAAAAACCACUCCAACAGAGCACACUUCACUUCUUCGUUUUUGUCUUUCCUCUUUUUUUUUUUUAGAGAAGCUGAGAAAGCCCAGCUCGCCCUCAACUCCCCGAUGGGUUUGAUGAAUGUUCUCAAAUUCUCAGCUGCAUGCUUUGAUCUUCUUGGUUGGUAUGUUGUCUACGCAUUUUCUCGUCAUUGGAAAAUUUUGGAAAAUGAAGUGGAAUUCUAUGUUUGAGGAGAAACUGGGAUUUGCUUUGAUUUCUCCAUGUUGGUUUUAUCCCUUUUGUUUGAAUUGUCCAGAUUCUUGUCAUUGAUUGUUAGUUAUUUGUUUGGAUUUCUACUUGCAGGCCUCUGUUUGCACUGGGUUAUCCUCUGUAAGUCUUGGUCUUACACCCCAAGAUAUGAUGGUUCAUUUACUCUUUUCUUGUUCUAUGAAUUCUUAGUUCAGUUACAUUUAUUGGGUUGGGAAACUGAAAAGGGAAAGGAUUAUUAGUUAUUAUCAUAAUAAUCAUCAAUAUCAUCUCGGUUCUUCACAGAUGUGCUUCAAUUCGGGCAAUUGAGACUAACUCAAUCUCAGACGUUCGGAAGUUGGUGGCGUAUUGGGUUCUAUUUUCCUUGAUUUCACUCUUUGAUCAUACUUUUGCCAAGCUCCUUGAAUGGUAAUUUUGCUCAACUUCAUUCUUUGCCCUUCAGGAAUUUGGAGUUGCUUUUUUCAGUUUUCUUCCUUGUGACAAUAAUCGAGAUGUUUAAUGUUCCAGGCCUCCAUGUAUUUUAUUUUCCUUCACUUCUCUGCUUUGAAAAAUGCCCACAAUCUGAUCAACAGAAAGGUUAUAACAUUUGAAAAAGAAAUGCUUUGUUUUGGUUUUUUAAGUGCAACAAUUUUCAUUUGGAGAAAUGAUCUAAAGGGUAUUGGUGUUUGGCCGAAUUCAUGGAAUUUUCUCGCUAAUUUGGGAUUUAUUCUCAAUUUCAAGAUCACUGUGGAUAUUUCAGAAAUUAAUGAAAUAUAUAUGAUGGAAUGUGAUUUUCUUGUUUAAGAAAAGUUUUUCUUUGAAAAUGUGGGUGACCCCAACCUACCUUAUUGUACUACUUGGAACACAAAACAAAAGUUUUUCUCGCUAAUUUAUUAACUAAAUUGCACACUUUUUGAUAGUUCAAGGAAGUGGUGUCAGCUUUGGAAAUAAGAUGGAUGAUUGUAGGGAACUUUAUUUCUCAUCUUUAUAGGGAACUUUCCAUAAUAUAGCUUAUAAAUAUCAUAAUCACAGUGAUGAAUGAUUGUCUUGUUUGAAAGCAUGGUUGCACUUAUUUCCAGGGAAUUUGUCUGCGUUGAAAUUAAAUUAAGCUUUAUGCAUCAUUUGGAUGCUGGGAAACAAAUGGAAAUAGAAAAUUCAGAAUCUGACAAGUUUGUGUAGGGCAACUGGAUCUAAUCUCUUAGUCGAAGCUUAAUAGGGGCAAAUGCUGAUCAUCUUUGAACCUAUUGAAGGCUCUAAUCUGUGCACAAUUCUAAUGUUUUUGUUUUCUUCAUUUCUUUUUCAACUUUUCAUAAUAGAUGUCAAAAGUUAAAACCGAACUUACGUAGUCCAUCCAAGUGGAUGCAUAUAAAUUUAACAGAAACUGAAAUUUGAAGAAAUUUAUUUUCCCUUUUGUAAAUGGUGUUUAAAAAGUCUGUGUGUAGUUUGGUUUUUUUCCUGGAAGAUCAGAUGAUUUCGUGAUCAUUUUUUCUAUUUGCCUUAUCAUCAUGAGAUUUAAGUAUUUUUUUUAAAAAAAUAUUUUAUUUUCUUAUAUAAUGCAUGUCAGGAUACCAUUCUGGCCUUACAUAAAGCUGAUGGUCAUCUGCUGGCUGGUGAUACCGCAUUUUGAUGGUUCCUAUUAUAUCUAUCAAUACCUAGUUCAUCCACGCUUGUCCAUGGAUCCACAAGUUGUCAUGAAUUGGCUCUUCAAUGAAUCAAAAAAGAAGUUUCAUAGCAGAGAAAACUUUCUUGUUUCAGCAGACCAAUAUAUUAAGGAGAAGGGACCUGAAGCUUUGGAGAAACUACUUGCAAGGAAGGUAUGCCAUUAUAAGUAGGAUUGUCAACAAGUCAAAUAGAGUUUUAUUUGAGAUGUUCAAGUAAAAAAUUACUAUAGCAGGUCAUCUAGAAUUAUUGGUCUAAAUUCAUGUAUAUAUCUAUAUAUAAUUGUGUUCUCUUUUUUUCACAUAUGCAUGUGCAUUUAGAUUUACGUAAUUAUAUAUGCAUAAUCAGAUUCAACUGUGAUAGCCCAGGAUUUAAUUCAGUAAUCAACUCUUCUGGGAACAUGUUGGUUAUGGUUUCUCUCUCACUGUCCUCUUAUUUAUACAUGACUUUGGCUUCAGUUGAGGAGCACAAAGCCUAAUGUUGAAGUGAAAGAGAUCAAAGGACCUGCAGCACCGGAGAAAAAAGGGGAACAGGUAUGCACUCUACUAUUUUAUUUCUAUGGAGGCAGAUCUCCAGAGAAAUGUUGCUCAUGUAAAUUAGUGAUGCAUUUAAAAGAAAAACCACUUUAUGUAUGUUUCUGUGAAAAAGAGAACAAGUUUAUGGAUUAAGUGAUAUUUUUUAUGGUGAAAUAAUCAAUAAUUUUCAAAAUAAUAAUAUAUUCGUGCAUGUUUUUGCAAUUCAUGAAUUCCUUUUACGAUUGAUUCUUCUCACCUCAGUGGAAGUGUGAAGAGCCUAAUGUUGCAGAAAAGGAGAUCCAAGUAGUCAAAGUAACAGACAUAAAAAAUGGGGGGGAUGGAGCAAAGAGGGUAAGUUUUCCUUUUUAUUUAUAAGGAAGGCUGUCUUCACGCAAGGAUUAUUGUUAUUAUUUUUAAGACAUGAAUGUUGAAUGCAUUUGGAAUUGUCGUUGAAUCAUGUGAAGUGUGAAGGUGCAAAUGGUGCUAAGAAGGAGAUCAAAGUGAUGGAAGUAACACAGAGAACAUUUGGUGAUACAGCACAGUGGGUAAGGUUUCUUGUCAUACUUAAAUGGCACCUCAUAUUUCACUAGGAUUAAUUUUGGCCUACAAACAUAUUUGGCUACAAGUUGAAGACAGCUUUCCAGAUACUGGUAAAAGUUGAGACAUAAGUAAUGAAUGAGUUUAGAAACAUGCACAACUCUUGUGUGAAACACAAUGAGAGUGGAAAAUAGCUAAGUUGAAAAAUGGCCAAAUACUAUUUUGUAGUUCACCCCACCACUUAAGUAAUUUUUGUCAUCCUUUGUGAAUGGAAAAUGCAGUCCCUUCAGUAAUUCUGCAUAUAACCAUUAGUGUCUUGUCCUAAGUUGACCUUUAAUGAUGGUCCAUUGAGAGGGAUCUGACUUUUGUCAACCCUCUUAUUCCUUUGAUCAUAGAGGUUAAACAUACGGGGCUUAACCCACUUUUCAAUCUCAUUGGAUAUAUGGCAUGUGGUAUCCUCUUCAUCUUGAAAGAGUGAAGUGGUCAUACUCUUUCCUGAGUCCAUCGUGGCCAUGCACUUCUGGCUCAUUGGGCAGAGUGAAAGGAUUCCCUUCUGCUUCAAAUCAUAGAGAGAUAUGCCAUGGUCAGCCUCUUUAAUUUGAAGGAUUGAAGUACUCAAAUCGAUUUCUUUGCAUCCAUCUUAGUCCUGCUUUCAUGUCUCAUGGUUAACCAGGAAGAUCAAGCUUCCAUCCAUGAGAUCAGCAUCUGCAGGGUUAUGACACCACCCUUCCUUGGCAUAGGAAAGCGAUCAUUAAGCCACAUGUCGGAUGACAGAAGUCGUCAUUCAGGUUAUCUUGCGAACUAGGGAAGUUGGAAUUCUAAUUAUUGCAUAUGGUUCUUGAUGUUUAGCCAAUAUACUAUAGGAUUUUAAGCAUCCUGCCCAUGUGCAUUGUGGUUUUUUAUCAGCUAUAUGGUUUACCAAACUGAGGGAUUGAUUAUAGUCAUAAGUACCCUUUUCCCAUUAAUUUCUUGCAUGUGCUUUGCUGAGAUUAUGUUUUUGACAGUGCUAAUCAGGGCAAACCAACAAACAGCUUUAUGUUAACUUUUACAAACUGCCACAUUUUCAGGUUGAACGAUCAGAGAUAAAUCUUGGUGAAACUAGAAGUAAUACAAC